UGCAGAAUCCCGUGAACCAUCGAGUUUUUGAACGCAAGUUGCGCCCGAAGCCUUCGGGCUGAGGGCACGUCUGCCUGGGCGUCACGC
RNAcentral lists this ribosomal RNA (87 nucleotides) under Begonia nelumbifolia. RNAcentral's name for it is "partial 5.8S ribosomal RNA". It matches the Rfam family "5.8S ribosomal RNA", at positions 73 to 154 of the family's 154-position model. Rfam says of the family: 5.8S ribosomal RNA (5.8S rRNA) is a component of the large subunit of the eukaryotic ribosome. It is transcribed by RNA polymerase I as part of the 45S precursor that also contains 18S and 28S rRNA. Functionally, it is thought that 5.8S rRNA may be involved in ribosome translocation. The record is from RNAcentral. Lineage: Eukaryota; Viridiplantae; Streptophyta; Magnoliopsida; Cucurbitales; Begoniaceae.